Molecule: ribosomal RNA, 200 nt
Filed under: uncultured bacterium
Lineage: Bacteria
Description: partial 16S ribosomal RNA
Rfam family: Bacterial small subunit ribosomal RNA
Source: RNAcentral
UACGGAGGGUGCAAGCGUUAAUCGGAAUUACUGGGCGUAAAGCGAGUGUAGGCGGCUGCAUAAGUCGGAUGUGAAAGCCCCGGGCUUAACCUGGGAAUUGCAUUCGAUACUGUGCAGCUAGAGUUUGGUAGAGGGAAGUGGAAUUCCAGGUGUAGCGGUGAAAUGCGUAGAUAUCUGGAGGAACAUCAGUGGCGAAGGCG